Molecule: long non-coding RNA, 696 nt
Organism: Oncorhynchus tshawytscha (Chinook salmon)
Lineage: Eukaryota; Metazoa; Chordata; Actinopteri; Salmoniformes; Salmonidae
Source: Ensembl
GGUCUGUGUCAGUUCUGGAUGUGGUUCUGGUACCACAAGGUGCUGUGAAGGUUCUGGUUGUGGUUCUGGUACCACAAGGUUCUGUGAAGGUUCUGGUUGUGGUUCUGGUACCACAGACCGGUGGGGAGGCUCUAGUUGUGGCCCUGGUACCACAGGGCGGUGGGGUGGUUCUGGUUGUGGUUCUGGUACCACAGGGCGGUGGGGAGGAUCUGGUCCUGGUACCACAGUAGAGUGGGGAGGAUCUGGUCCUGGUACCAUAGGACAGUGGGGAGGAUCUGGUCCUGGUACCAUAAGGUGAUGAGAAGGUUAUGGUUCUGGUACCACAGGGGGUGGGGGUUCUGGCACCACAGGACGGUGGGGAUGUUCUAGCUGUGGUUCUGAUACCACAGGGCGGUGGGGAGGUACUGGUUCUAGUUGUGGUUCUGGUACCACAGGAGAGAGUGGGGAGGUUCUGGUUCUGGUACCACAGGGCGGUGUGGAGAUUCUGGUGUGGUUCUGAUGCCACAGUAUGAUGGGAAGGUUCUGGUUGUGGUUCUGGUACCAUAGGGCAGUGGGGAGGUUCUGGUUGAAGUUCUUGUUCCACAGGAUGGUGGGUAGGUUCUAGUUGUGGUUUAUGGUUCUGGUACCACAGGUCGGUGCCGAGUUCUGAUAUCACAUGGCGAUGGGAAGGUUCUGAUUCUGGUAUCACAGGGUGGU